RNAcentral lists this long non-coding RNA (366 nucleotides) under Elaeis guineensis (African oil palm). RNAcentral describes it as "long non-coding RNA (EGUI_LNC017168)". Lineage: Eukaryota; Viridiplantae; Streptophyta; Magnoliopsida; Arecales; Arecaceae. The record is from RNAcentral.
UCCCCUCUCUUCUUCCCUCUUCAUGCUCUCUUCUUUCCCUCGUGCCCUCUCUCUCUCUCUAUCUCUCCUGUGCUCUCCUCCCACUCCCAUGCUUCCUCACUGCAGCCUUUUGCUUCUUCCCUCUUUCUUUCCCUUUUCAUCAUCAUCUUCUUCUUUCUUUUUUUCUCAUCUUCUUCUUUUUUUUUCUUUAGGUGGCUGUUGUCUUGAUUUGCUUCUUCAACAGAGUAGGUAAGCCCUAAACACUCUUUGUAUUUAGCUGAUUUUAGUUAUGAAUUAUUUGGUAGAUGAUGGGAUGAUAAGAGAGGUAAAAGCAGAAAACUUUAAGCAUUGGGAUAGAAAAGAAUUUGAGAGGGAAAAAGAUUGUCA